RNAcentral lists this ribosomal RNA (253 nucleotides) under uncultured bacterium. RNAcentral describes it as "partial 16S ribosomal RNA". It matches the Rfam family "Bacterial small subunit ribosomal RNA", at positions 524 to 776 of the family's 1533-position model. The record is from RNAcentral.
UACGGAGGAUCCAAGCGUUAUCCGGAUUUAUUGGGUUUAAAGGGUGUGUAGGCGGAUAUUUAAGUCAGAGGUGAAAUCUCCGAGCUCAACUCGGAAACUGCCUUUGAUACUAUUUAUCUUGAAUUUCGUUGAGGUUGGCGGAAUAUAUCAUGUAGCGGUGAAAUGCAUAGAUACGAUAUAGAACACCGAUUGCGAAGGCAGCUGGCUGAACGAACAUUGACGCUGAGGCACGAAAGCGUGGGUAGCGAACAGG